Molecule: ribosomal RNA, 208 nt
Filed under: uncultured bacterium
Lineage: Bacteria
Description: partial 16S ribosomal RNA
Rfam family: Bacterial small subunit ribosomal RNA
Source: RNAcentral
CGCGCAGGCGGUCGUGUAAGUCGAAUGUGAAAGCCCCCGGCUCAACUGGGGAGGGUCAUUCGAUACUGCUCGACUCGAAGGCAGGAGAGGGAAGCGGAAUUCCCGGUGUAGUGGUGAAAUGCGUAGAUAUCGGGAGGAACACCAGUGGCGAAGGCGGCUUUCUGGCCUGUUCUUGACGCUGAGGCGCGAAAGCUAGGGGAGCAAACGG